UAUUUAUACAAAUUAAUAUAAUAUUAUACAUAUAAGAAUUAAAUUAUUAUAAUUAUUGCAUAGAUAUUUUUUUCGGAUACUACUCUUGGAAGAUUUGAGUUUUCAGGUACCAUCGGAUCGAGUGAGGAAUAAAAAUGGAUAAGAACAAUAUAAAAGUCAAAUAAAUUGUUUCUAAUUAAUAUAAAAUAAAAAAAAUAAUGAGAGAAUAAUUUUAUCUACCCGCACAAAAAAUAUAAAAUGCGAUAUAAUUAAAUAAACAAACAAUUAGAUGGAAUAAUUGUAAUGCAUAUGAUGCUGAAAUUGAAUAAAUUUUAAUUGAAAAUAAAAAUAAAAUAAAAUAGCUUGAUGCUUAUGAAAUUCAUUGACGAUCAUUUAAUAUGAAAUAUCGAUAAAACAAAUGAUGGAAAAUUUAUAUAAACAAUGAUAAAAUUUAUUUAAAUAUUUAUAAUUAUCAUCGAGAAAGUAUGAUGGAAUAAAAAUGGAAAAAAAACAUUGAAAUUCAUUGCGGGUUUCAUCAAAGUUGGUUCAAUAUAAAUAAAGGAAAAUCCAUUCUGGAAGGAGUAUGCUAAUCACGAGUUGCAUUUUACUGAACCUGACGAUUGAAUUCUAUGAAAUGAUGAGAUAAUAAUUAUUAAACAAAAAAAUAUA
Long non-coding RNA from Polistes dominula (European paper wasp), 648 nucleotides. RefSeq lists it as uncharacterized. Lineage: Eukaryota; Metazoa; Arthropoda; Insecta; Hymenoptera; Vespidae. The record is from RefSeq and is a predicted model, not a curated record.